Molecule: ribosomal RNA, 460 nt
Filed under: uncultured bacterium
Lineage: Bacteria
Description: partial 16S ribosomal RNA
Rfam family: Bacterial small subunit ribosomal RNA
Source: RNAcentral
CCUACGGGUGGCAGCAGUGAGGAAUAUUGGUCCAUGGACGAGAGUCUGAACCAGCCAAGUAGCGUGAAGUAUGACUGCCCUUUGGGUUGUAAACUUCUUUUAUCAAGGAAUAAAACGAGGCACGUGUGCAUUUUUGCCUGUACUUUAUGACUCAGGAUCGGCUAACUCCGUGCCAGCAGCCGCGGUAAUACGGAGGAUCCGAGCGUUAUCCGGAUUUAUUGUGUUUAAAGGGAGCGUAGAUGGGUUGUUAAGUCAGUUGUGAAAGUUUGCGGCUCAACCGUAAAAUUGCAAUUGAUACUGGCAGGCUUGAGUACAGUUGAGGGAGGCAGAAUUCGUGGUGUAGCGGUGAAAUGCUUAGAUAUCACGAAGAACCCCGAUUGCGAAGGCAGCUUACUAAACUGUGACUGACAUUGAUGCUCGAAAGUGUGGGUAUCAAACAGGAUUAGAUACCCUAGUAGUC